This 468-nucleotide ribosomal RNA is filed under the name uncultured bacterium. RNAcentral describes it as "partial 16S ribosomal RNA". It matches the Rfam family "Bacterial small subunit ribosomal RNA", at positions 28 to 507 of the family's 1533-position model. The record is from RNAcentral.
GACGAACGCUGGCGGCGUGCUUAACACAUGCAAGUCGAACGGAAAGGCCCUGCUUUUGUGGGGUGCUCGAGUGGCGAACGGGUGAGUAACACGUGAGUAACCUGCCCUUGACUUUGUGAUAACUUCAGGCAACUGGGGCUAAUACCGGAUAGGAGCUCCUGCUGCAUGGUGGGGGUUGGAAAGUUUCGGCGGUUGGGGAUGGACUCGCGGCUUAUCAGCUUGUUGGUGGGGUAGUGGCUUACCAAGGCUUUGACGGGUAGCCGGCCUGAGAGGGUGACCGGCCACAUUGGGACUGAGAUACGGACCAGACUCCUACGGGAGGCAGCAGUGGGGAAUAUUGCACAAUGGGCGGAAGCCUGAUGCAGCAACGCCGCGUGCGGGAUGACGGCCUUCGGGUUGUAAACCGCUUUCGCCUGUGACGAAGCGUGAGUGACGGUAAUGGGUAAAGAAGCACCGGCUAACUACGUG